UCCCUGGUGGUCCAGUGGUUAGAAUUCUGCCAACCCAAGGGACACAGGUUCGAUCCCUGGCCAGGGAA
RNAcentral lists this transfer RNA (68 nucleotides) under Bos taurus (domestic cattle). It matches the Rfam family "tRNA". Rfam says of the family: Transfer RNA (tRNA) molecules are approximately 80 nucleotides in length. The record is from Rfam by way of RNAcentral. RNAcentral also lists the same sequence under 5 other names. Lineage: Eukaryota; Metazoa; Chordata; Mammalia; Artiodactyla; Bovidae.